Molecule: ribosomal RNA, 253 nt
Filed under: uncultured bacterium
Lineage: Bacteria
Description: partial 16S ribosomal RNA
Rfam family: Bacterial small subunit ribosomal RNA
Source: RNAcentral
UACGGGGGGGGCAAGCGUUGUUCGGAAUUACUGGGCGUAAAGGGCUCGUAGGCGGCCAACUAAGUCAGACGUGAAAUCCCUCGGCUUAACCGGGGAACUGCAUCUGAUACUGGAUGGCUUGAGUUCGGGAGAGGGAUGCGGAAUUCCAGGUGUAGCGGUGAAAUGCGUAGAUAUCUGGAGGAAUACCGGUGGCGAAGGCGGCAUCCUGGACCAACACUGACGCUGAGGCGCGAAAGCUAGGGGAGCAAACGGG